CAAUCAAACCGGGAGAUAGCUGGUUCUCCCCGAAAGCUAUUUAGGUAGCGCCUCGUGAAUUCAUCUCCGGGGGUAGAGCACUGUUUCGGCUAGGGGGCCAUCCCGGCUUACCAACCCGAUGCAAACUGCGAAUACCGGAGAAUGUUAUCACGGGAGACACACGGCGGGUGCUAACGUCCGUCGUGAAGAGGGAAACAACCCAGACCGCCAGCUAAGGUCCCAAAGUCAUGGUUAAGUGGGAAACGAUGUGGGAAGGCCCAGACAGCCAGGAUGUUGGCUUAGAAGCAGCCAUCAUUUAAAGAAAGCGUAAUAGCUCACUGGUCGAGUCGGCCUGCGCGGAAGAUGUAACGGGGCUAAACCAUGCACCGAAGCUGCGGCAGCGAACGUAUCACCCAAGACAACUUUACGGAGUUGACGAUUGACGGAGCGAAGCGACGUCAAAGCGUUCAUUAAAGUCGAGUUGGCUUAGGGAUACGUUCGUUGGGUAGGGGAGCGUUCUGUAAGCCUGUGAAGGUGUGUCGUGAGGCAUGCUGGAGGUAUCAGAAGUGCGAAUGCUGACAUAAGUAACGAUAAAGCGGGUGAAAAGCCCGCUCGCCGGAAGACCAAGGGUUCCUGUCCAACGUUAAUCGGGGCAGGGUGAGUCGACCCCUAAGGCGAGGCCGAAAGGCGUAGUCGAUGGGAAACGGGUUAAUAUUCCCGUACUUGGUGUUACUGCGAAGGGGGGACGGAGAAGGCUAUGUUGGCCGGGCGACGGUUGUCCCGGUUUAAGCGUGUAGGUGUGUGUUCCAGGUAAAUCCGGUUCACUUUAACACUGAGGCGUGACGACGAGGCACUACGGUGCUGAAGCAACAAAUGCCCUGCUUCCAGGAAAAGCCUCUAAGCAUCAGGUAACAUCAAAUCGUACCCCAAACCGACACAGGUGGUCAGGUAGAGAAUACCAAGGCGCUUGAGAGAACUCGGGUGAAGGAACUAGGCAAAAUGGUGCCGUAACUUCGGGAGAAGGCACGCUGACACGUAGGUGAAGUGAUUUACUCAUGGAGCUGAAGUCAGUCGAAGAUACCAGCUGGCUGCAACUGUUUAUUAAAAACACAGCACUGUGCAAACACGAAAGUGGACGUAUACGGUGUGACGCCUGCCCGGUGCCGGAAGGUUAAUUGAUGGGGUCAGCGCAAGCGAAGCUCCUGAUCGAAGCCCCGGUAAACGGCGGCCGUAACUAUAACGGUCCUAAGGUAGCGAAAUUCCUUGUCGGGUAAGUUCCGACCUGCACGAAUGGCGUAAUGAUGGCCAGGCUGUCUCCACCCGAGACUCAGUGAAAUUGAACUCGCUGUGAAGAUGCAGUGUACCCGCGGCAAGACGGAAAGACCCCGUGAACCUUUACUAUAGCUUGACACUGAACAUUGAGCCUUGAUGUGUAGGAUAGGUGGGAGGCUUUGAAGUGUGGACGCCAGUCUGCAUGGAGCCGACCUUGAAAUACCACCCUUUAAUGUUUGAUGUUCUAACGUGGACCCGUAAUCCGGGUUGCGGACAGUGUCUGGUGGGUAGUUUGACUGGGGCGGUCUCCUCCUAAAGAGUAACGGAGGAGCACGAAGGUUGGCUAAUCCUGGUCGGACAUCAGGAGGUUAGUGCAAUGGCAUAAGCCAGCUUGACUGCGAGCGUGACGGCGCGAGCAGGUGCGAAAGCAGGUCAUAGUGAUCCGGUGGUUCUGAA
RNAcentral lists this ribosomal RNA (1707 nucleotides) under Salmonella enterica. RNAcentral's name for it is "partial 23S ribosomal RNA". It matches the Rfam family "Bacterial large subunit ribosomal RNA", at positions 830 to 2433 of the family's 2925-position model. Lineage: Bacteria; Pseudomonadati; Pseudomonadota; Gammaproteobacteria; Enterobacterales; Enterobacteriaceae. The record is from RNAcentral.